Molecule: long non-coding RNA, 7502 nt
Filed under: Lactuca sativa (garden lettuce)
Lineage: Eukaryota; Viridiplantae; Streptophyta; Magnoliopsida; Asterales; Asteraceae
Description: long non-coding RNA (LSAT_LNC005477)
Source: RNAcentral
UUUAAAUCAAAAUUCGGAAGCAUUAUCCGAAGGAGUCACCGAUCUGAUCCGAGGUACGCCCCGCGUACUCGAGUACGCCCCGCGUACUCCGAGGGAUGUCGACACUCGCACUCGAGCACUUCGGAUACGUAAGCAAUGACGUUUUGGGCAGUACGCCCCGCGUAACGCAGUACGCCCCGCGUACUCCGAGGCUCCAGCCUCCUAUAAAUAGGAUGCGAGGGUUCCGGGUAUUUUUGCCAAUUCCCUCUCGUUUUCGUGUCGAAGCUCUGUGCAAAAACCCCCGAAGCUACCCCGAAGUCCCGGUAUCAUACUCUAGCCCCGAGGCAAGUCCCGAGAUCCCGAAGAUCCCGAAAAGUGCGGUUCCCGAGUCGAAGCUCUGCCCGCGAGAAGUUCGAUUUUCGAGAAGAUCUUCCAGAUCUGCUGUGGAUUACUACUUCUAUAAGCCGUAGUGCUGUCCGAUCAUCUUCUGAUCAAGUGAGUGUGUAGUUAUUUCUUCUAAUACAAUAAUACGAAGUAUUUUAUAUAAAAAUACGUGCUAUGUGUAUAUAUUUGGUUGUGUUAUGUGUGAAUGAGUAUUCACUCUCUUCUAUCUUAUAGAUCUGCUUAUUUCUUUAUGAGAUAUGUGUUAUGUGUGUGUGUGCCUCAUCUGUUAUGUGAUAUAUGUGUUGAUUAAAGCAUGCUAUACAGGUUUUCUUUAAACUAUGUAUACAAAUGUAUAUUUUUAUCUACUAAUAUGUUGGGUAGAACAUGGGUAGACAGUUGGUGUGUAAUAAACAGAUGAGAGGCCUCGUUGUUGUUUGAUUGAGUCAUCUAGCGGAGUUUAGAUGACGACCACUGGCUAUUCUAGACAGUCUUGUGGAAACAUUAGCAGGUUCGCCACCUGUAGGUGUUAAUGAACUUGGGUGUUCAUUCGCUGUACUCCAUCCCCCUCAUGGUUGCCUUAUUUGACUUAUAUUGCUGAGGUACCCCCGAAGCAUGUGUUGUCGCCCCGAUGAAAUAUUCUUAGACUAGGUCCCUUAUGUUAGUUGUUUUAGGGACAUUAAAGUGAGAAUAACGGGAAUGGGUAAUUGGGUUAUUGUUGGUUGGUGAAAAUUAAAUAUGAUAUUUAUUGUGGGUUGAAAACCCUAUAUGCUCACCAGGCUCCCAAGCCUGACCCACUCAGUUUUAAAUUGUAUUACAGGUAGUGGCGGAAGGGCAUGAGAUGGAUGAACCAUCAAGUUGUUUUGUUUACAAGUCUGCAUAUGUUUAUAUUUGUUAUAUGACUUGUAAUGUAUUCGUUUAUGCUUAUUGGUCUGUAUCGGAACAUGACACCCCGAGUUUUGAUUAUAAUGAAAAUACAUUUCUUUUAUGAAAUGCUUCGGUAAACAAUGUUUUAUCAUGUUUUGUUUUUGGGAACAAAUUCCGCAACUCUUUCAAAUCAAAAGGAUUUACUCUGAAAAUAUUUAAAAGCAUAAAUGAAAAUCGGUCUUUUCUGGCCGAGAUUUUGGGGAUGUCACAGUUGGUAUCAGAGCAUUAGUUUAAGCGAACUAGGAAUUUGUAGGAUUUCUAGACUUAAACUUAGAAUGCUAAGUGAAGUUUUGAGAUGUGUGUCUGUUGUGUUUUAGACACGAGCACUAGUUUAUUUUAGGAAAGUUGCCUAAAAUGCUUUAUGUGCUAAAUGUUAUAUGUUGCCAUAUAUGAUAUUAUUUGUUCGGAUCUAUGGUCUGUUGCCGACCGGAUCUAGAAACCUUAUGUGUGUAGGAUUCUAAGCGUACGUCUACGAUAUUAGAACUAGCAUGUAAACGUUUCGGAGUGAUAAGGAUGAUUUGAAUAUCUAUCAUGAUUGAGGAUCUAAUUUCACCUUAUUCGGGGUGUAGAUCAAAAUGGUGAGAACAAGAAGUGGAGUUGGAAAUGCUGACGAAAACAGGAAUCAACCACCAGUGAUUGAGCCAAUACCUGUCGUAGCAGCAGCACCUGAGCCAAUAACCAUGGCUGGUGUGCAAUUGAUGAUUCAGACGAUGUUGGAUCGUCAGAUGGAUGAAACUAGACGGUUGCUUCAACAAAAUCGUGAAGAACUGUCGAUUCGUGUGGAAGAGCCUGAACUGAAUGAAGGGCACUCGGAAGGUGGAAACUUCAGUGGGUCUGUUGGUCCAGCCAACCCACCGAUAGUUAGGCAAGAUAACCAUGAUGGAAGGAAUGAUGGAAUGGGAUGCAAGUACAAGGACUUUUUGACUUGUAAACCAUCGACCUUCAAUGGAAAGGAGGAUCCGAUUGGGGUUAUGGAUUGGAUCUCCGAAAUGGAGUUAGCCUUUAUGACAUGUGGCUGUAGAGGCAAGUUGCAGACUAUCUAUGCCGUGCGACAAUUCCGAGGUGGAGCCGUUCGUUGGUGGAACACUCUAGGGAAGACCUUAAGCCCUAAUGAGCCACUGCAAUUGUCAUGGGCAGAGUUCUUGGUGCAGUUCAAGCGCAAGUUCUGCUCGGCUCAAAAUCUGUUGGAGUUGGAGAAUAAGUUUUUGACAUUGACGAAGGGUAGCAUGUCAGUUGAUGAAUACACCAAUAACUUCACCGAUAAGAUGGAGUUUGCCUUGCGUAUCGUUCCAGACGAGCUGACAAAGGUGGAUCGGUAUGCGAAGGGACUUCCAUGGGAGUACGAGGUGCCAGUACGUCAGGCACUUACUCUAGAGGCAGCUAUCUGGGCUGCCAAGUCUGUGGAGAACAUGAUCAAGGGGAGAACCACCGUCAAGGUUGAGGUUGGUGAGAAAAGGAAGUUUGAAGGAACAUCUGGUUCCAGUAAGAAGAGCAAAUUUUCGAAAUCUGAUUCGAAAAAGUUUGGAGGAAAAGGAGGCGAAGCGAAGUGGUGUGAUAAGUGUAAGAAAAAGCACUUUGGGAAAUGUAGCGAGGAUGUGACCUGCUACAAGUGUGGAAAGGUUGGACAUUUUGCCAAUGAAUGUCCGAACAACAAAAGGAUGUGUUUUGGUUGUAAUGAAGAGGGGCAUAUUUUGAAAGACUGUCCGAAGAAGAAGGAGGCAGCUAGGCCCAACAUUCCACCAAAGCCGAAGGCGAGAGCCUUCCAGAUGACACUUGAGGCUGCGAAAGAUGAAGCUGAUGUCGCUUCAGGUACCUUUCUCGUAAACGAAUUACCUGCUCAUAUAUUGUUUGAUUCUGGAGCCAACUACUCCUUUAUUUCGCAUGAGUUUGGUAGAAAGCUAGCUUUGCCUGUUGAUAGACUAAAUAAUGCUUUAUUAGUCGAAGUAGCUAGUGGCAAGUUUGUACCUGUUAGCCAUCGUAUGAAAAACGUCUUGAUCGACCUUAAUGGGAAUAAGUUUCUCGAGGAAUUAUUGCCUAUCGAACUAAAUGGUUUCGACAUCGUCUUGGGAAUGGAUUGGCUUAGCGCCAAUGAUGCCGAAAUUUUGUGCAAGAAGAAGAUAGUUAAAGUAAACCCGCCUGGGAAAGAUUCGUUUAUGGUGUAUGGGGACAAACGCAGAGUGAAUUCUGGAAUCAUUUCUCUAAUGAAAGCCAGAAAGUGUUUGACCAAGGGAUGUACAUCAUAUUUAGCAUUCGUGAUUGAUGCUAAGAAAGAAAAGAAGGUGAUGCAGAGUAUUCCAGUGGUGUGUGAUUAUCCGGAAGUAUUUCCCGAGGAUCUUCCUGGAUUACCACCUGAUAGACAAGUGGAGUUCAGAAUAGACUUGUUACCAGGAACCACGCCAAUAGCAAAAGCACCUUAUCGAUUAGCACCGACGGAGAUGAAGGAGCUAAUGAUGCAACUUCAGGAGUUAUUGGACAAAGGUUUCAUUAGACCUAGUUCAUCGCCCUGGGGAGCUCCGGUGUUAUUUGUAAAGAAGAAAGAUGGAAGUAUGAGAAUGUGCAUCGAUUACAGAGAGCUGAACAAGGCAACAAUAAAGAAUAGAUAUCCGUUGCCGAGGAUUGAUGACCUGUUUGAUCAAUUGCAAGGUUCGAGCUAUUUCUCGAAGAUCGAUCUUAGGUCAGGAUAUCAUCAGCUGAAAGUAAGAGAGCAAGAUAUCGAGAAGACUGCAUUCAGAACUAGAUAUGGACACUACGAGUUCUUGGUUAUGUCGUUUGGACUAACCAAUGCUCCAGCAGCGUUCAUGGAUUUGAUGAAUAGGGUUUGUAACCCGUUCCUUGAUAAAUCCGUGAUAGUGUUCAUAGACGACAUUCUGAUUUACUCGAAAAGCCAGGAGGAGCAUGGCAGACACUUGCGAGAAGUGUUAGAAGUCUUGAAGAAGGAGAAGCUGUAUGCUAAGUUCUCCAAAUGUGAUUUUUGGAUUCGUGAAGUCCAAUUCUUGGGUCACGUGGUCAACCAAGAAGGGAUAAUGGUUGAUCCAGCGAAGAUCGAAGCUGUGACGAAGUGGGAACAACCGAAAAGUCCCACGGAGAUUCGAAGCUUUUUAGGAUUAGCCGGAUAUUACCGAAGGUUUAUCCAAGGCUUUUCUUCGAUUGCUACUCCAUUGACAGCUUUGACCCACAAAGGAGCUACUUAUGCUUGGAGUGAGAAGCAUAAAGAAGCAUUCGAGAAGUUAAAGAAGAAGCUAUGCGAGGCACCGAUACUUUCUCUACCCGAUGGAGUUGAAGACUUCGCUGUUUAUAGCGAUGCGUCUGGUGUUGGAUUGGGUUGUGUUUUGACCCAAAGAGAAAAGGUGAUAGCAUAUGCGUCUCGACAGCUGAAAGAGCAUGAAAAGAAUUACCCGACUCAUGAUUUGGAGUUGGCAGCGGUAGUUUUCGCUCUGAAAAUAUGGAGGCAUUACCUCUAUGGCACGAAGUGCAAACUUUUCACUGAUCAUAAGAGUCUCCAAUACCUCUUUAAUCAGAAAGAAUUGAAUAUGAGGCAACGACGCUGGCUAGAAUUACUUAAAGACUAUGACUGCGAGAUACUUUACCACCCCGGUAAAGCUAAUGUUGUUGCUGAUGCUCUCAGUCGGAAAGUCAAUCCCGAAAGGAAAAGGCCAAGAGCGUUGAGAAUUGAAGUUGUCUCAACUAUUUUGGAAAGUAUAAAGAAAGCUCAGAGCGAAGCUUCUGAGAAGAAUGACAGAAAGGAGGAACGUUUGGGCAAAACGUUGGUGUUCGGUGUAAACAGUCAUGGACUGAAGGUGUUCCAAGAUCGGAUUUGGAUACCUAAGACAGGAGGAGUCAGAGAUCUUCUGAUGGAAGAAGCUCACAAGACCAUGUACUCGAUUCAUCCGGGUAGCACUAAAAUGUAUAGGGACCUGAAACCCUACUACUGGUGGCCGACGAUGAAGCUUGAUGUUGCAAAGUAUGUGGCCGAGUGUGUGACUUGUGCGAGAGUCAAGACACAACAUCAGAAACCGUACGGGAGUUUAGAACCUUUGCCUGUGCCUAUGGGUAAGUGGGAAGACAUUGCUAUGGAUUUUGUCACUAAACUGCCCAGAACAAAGAAUGGUCACGACAUGAUUUGGGUGGUCGUUGAUCGAUUCACUAAGAGUGCGCAUUUCAUAGCGGCCAGGGAGAAAUGGUCUAUGGAAAAGCUUGCGAAUUCUUACGUGAAGGAAAUUGUGAGGCUUCACGGUGUUCCGUUAACGAUUGUAUCGGAUCGUGAUAGCCGUUUCACCUCAAGGUUUUGGAAAAGUCUACAAGAGGAAAUGGGUACCAAGUUAUGUUUAAGCACAGCUUACCAUCCGCAGACUGAUGGUCAGAGUGAAAGAACAAUACAAACACUUGAAGAUAUGCUGAGAGCAUGUACCUUGGAAUUCCUAGGUAAUUGGGAUGAACAUUUACCGUUGGUAGAAUUUUCCUAUAAUAAUAGUUUUCACUCGAGCAUUAAGAUGGCACCUUACCAAGCUUUGUAUGGACAGAAGUGUCGUACGCCGUCUUGUUGGCUUGAGGCUGGGGAAAAGCAGUUUAUGGGACCGGAGAUGGUUCAUCAAACUGCUGAAAAGUUGAAAAUAAUUAGGGAAAGAAUGUUAGCAGCUCAAGAUCGUCAAAAGAGCUAUGCUGACAAGAAGCGAAGACCGAUGACUUUUGAGGUUGGAGAUUCGGUUUUGCUUAAAGUCUCGCCGUGGAAGGGACUUAUAAGAUUUGGUAAAAGGGGAAAGUUGAGUCCAAGGUUUAUUGGACCGUUUAAAGUCCUUCAGAGGAUUGGGAAUCAAGCUUACAAGCUCGAAUUACCCGAAGAACUGAAUGGAAUUCACAACACCUUUCAUGUGUGUUAUUUGAGGAAGUUCACGGGAGAAGUUCCCGAUAUAAUUCCAAUUUCUGAAUUGAGAAUUGAUGAGAACAAAAGGUUGAUUGAAGAACCAGAGGCAAUUGUUGACCGAAAGACUAAGAAGUUGCGACGCAAAAUGGUUGGGUUAGUGCUUGUCCGAUGGAAACACACGAAUGGGCCGAAUCUCACCUGGGAGACGGAGAGUGACAUGUUGAGUCGCUAUCCGCAUUUGUUUGUUGAUGUGUGAUUCCGGGGACGGAAUCAUUCUAAGGUGGAGAGAAUUGUAACGCCUGUGUUUCCGGGCUUGCCAUUUUUAGCAAUGUAAUAGUCUAGGUUAACCUUUGUAACCCGUUUUGAAAUAAUAAGAUUGUAUUAUUUGAGUAUUAUGUGUUUUGUGCUUAAUUGCUUAAUUAUGUGGUUUGAUUAAUUAAGAAUAAAAAUAAGCGUCAAAAUUUAAGUGUAAAAUAAACUUAAUAUCUUUGGUUAAUGUUGUAGUAGUUGAAACGAGGUUUCCGAAUAUAUAUAGAACGCCCAAAUCUGACUUCGUAUGAGGAAGUUAUGAUUUAUCGAAGUUCCGGCUUAGCGGUAUACAGCCUGUUUUACUCGAUUUGAGAUCGAGCGGUUGUUAGCCGAAGCAAUCUAAAUGAGAAUCGAAGAUCUCAUUGUUGGUAUCGAAGCGAUAAAAAGUUAGGCGAGAACGGACGUCAAACGAAGAAGUUAUGAAUUUAUAACGAAAGUUUCUGUCGCGGCCUAUUAAAAAUAAUUAAUAAAAAUAAAGUCAAAAUUAGCCGACGGAGUCUAAACGAAAGUUGUAGAGCGUAGUCUCACCUUCGCGUGGAUAUAAAGAACGUCGAAAACGGAGUUCGUAUGAAGAAGUUAUGAAUUUCCGAAGUUUAUUAAUCAUUUUGUAUUUAUUUUUAAAUCAAAAUCGGAGGCAUUAUCCGAAGCCGAGUCACCCGUCUGAUCCAAGGUACGCCCCGCGUACGUGAGUACGCUAUCGCGUACUCCGCAUAGUGUCGACACUUCGGAUGACGCAUGCAAUGACGAUUUCGGACGCGUACGCGCUGCGUACGGCAGUACGCCCCGCGUACUCCGAGGCUCCAGCCUCUAUAUAAAGGAUCCGAAGGCAGCCUCAUUUGUUGUUCAAUUUCUUCUCUUCUCUCUAGUCUUUUGCAUCGUUUUUCGUGCCGAAGCUACCCCGAAGCCCCGGUAUCAUACUCUAGCCCCGAGGCAAGUCCCGAGACCCCGAAGAUCCCGAGAAGCGCGGUUCCCGAGUCGAAGCUCUGCCCGCGAGAAGUUCGAUUUUCGAGGAGAUCUUCCAGAUCUGCUGAGGAAUACUACUUCU